CUUCUGCAAGCGUUUCAUCUCCACAAGCUUCCAAACAAAGAGAAUUAAUGGAAAGUGAGAUUUGCAAGGUUUAUUCUCCUUGUUGUCCUCGGAUAAGUUCACGAUGAAACAGCAAAUAAAAACCCUUAUCUGGUUAAUGGGUGUUUCUCUCUCUAUUGAUUCUAUAAUUUUAGUACAUGCUUAUGGCAACAAAUAUAGAUCCCUCUUUCCAAUAUAACUCCCUCUCUGCAGCCCUUUCAAUCCAUGGCUCGCUUUGAGAUCAACUACCUCAAUCAUCUCCAUCUACAUCGGUAUAGGCGGUUUGGGCUUCUGGGUUCUCGGAUAUGACCAUGGUUCCUGCGCAAACCCUCUCUAAACGGAAACAACAACAAAAUCUUCUUUUUUACGGCGGUUAUGCUGGUUGUGGCGGCGGCGGUUUUUCGGACAGCUUUGGUCUUAUGAGCCGAUUAGAAGGUUAUGACUAUUGUAUUAGUGAAGCUUGCUUAGGAUCUGAUCUAGUGCCUAAUCCUCCCAUGGCGGAAGAUGAAUCCAGAACUAACAGUCUUAAUGAACCUGCUGGCUCCAGCUCGAAAGAUAAUAUUCAAGAAGACAGAGAUGAAGGGUGGCUCCAAUUGAGCAUAGGCGGUCACACGACAAGUCAUGAAAGCAAGCAUGCUCACCACCAACUGGAUCCAACGGCUACAAGAGGAGGAUUGAUCGAGCUUGAUCUAUUACCAGGUAGCACCUCACACCAAGGGAGGCCAUUGAGCGCUCCUAUUUUUCAUGUUCCUGCUGAGUUUAGAGCUCCUGCGAGGCCACUGAUGAGUAUUGCAGGAGGCAGUAACUAUACUACUACUUUAUUCUUUCAACACCAACCAGGAAGCAGCUCCACGUAUCCUCACCAUCAAGAGAUUAACUGGGCAUUUAGGCCUAUGACUCAUAAUAUAGCAACGGCUUCUUCUCCUUCUCCUUCUCAAUCUUCUUCUUCUUCUCUGAUGCCACUGGGGUCUUAUUUUUCGCGUCCCUUUCAAGUCCAUAGUGGAAUAGAUGUUGCUGGACCAAGCUCCGACUUUAGAGUCAUUGAUCCUCCAAGGAGACCCCAUUCUGGCAUUUGGUUUACGCUACAAGCGUCUCAAAACCAAGCCCAAGAACCGUUCUUGCCUCAAAUAUCCAAGAGCUACCUGAGAAUCAAGGACGGGAGGAUGACAGUUCGAUUAUUAAUGAAGUAUCUGGUUAACAAGCUGAAACUGGAUAGCGAAUCAGAGGUAGAGAUAACAUGUAGAGGGCAACAGCUCCUACCUUUCUUGACGUUGCAGCAUGUAAGAGAUAACAUAUGGAGCCCAAGAGAUGCACUCACUUUGCUUCCACACUCCUCAACCACUGAUCAUGUCAUGGUGCUGCACUAUGCUAGGACUCCUCUUCACAAGUGAUCAAAACAAAACAUAUAUAAUUCAAUUUUAUUUCUCUCUUUCAUCACUUGUAUCAUUGUUAAGUUAUCAAACCCCACUCCCUUUUCUUCUUCUUUUUCUUUUUUAUUUAUUGUUUCUUCUAAUGGGCUCUGUGCG
RNAcentral lists this unclassified non-coding RNA (1544 nucleotides) under Hevea brasiliensis (rubber tree). Lineage: Eukaryota; Viridiplantae; Streptophyta; Magnoliopsida; Malpighiales; Euphorbiaceae. The record is from RNAcentral.